RNAcentral lists this non-coding RNA (45 nucleotides) under Trichobilharzia regenti. The record is from RNAcentral. Lineage: Eukaryota; Metazoa; Platyhelminthes; Trematoda; Strigeidida; Schistosomatidae.
AUCUAGAUGACGAGUCCCAGAUAGGAUGAAAUAUGGAUCCUGGAU